AUACGGAGGAUCCGAGCGUUAUCCGGAUUUAUUGGGUUUAAAGGGAGCGUAGGUGGAUUGUUAAGUCAGUUGUGAAAGUUUGCGGCUCAACCGUAAAAUUGCAGUUGAAACUGGCAGUCUUGAGUACAGUAGAGGUGGGCGGAAUUCGUGGUGUAGCGGUGAAAUGCUUAGAUAUCACGAAGAACUCCGAUUGCGAAGGCAGCUCACUAGACUGCAACUGACACUGAUGCUCGAAAGUGUGGGUAUCAAACAGGAUUAGAUACCCUGGUAGUCCACACAGUAAACGAUGAAUACUCGCUGUUUGCGAUAUACAGUAAGCGGCCAAGCGAAAGCAUUAAGUAUUCCACCUGGGGAGUACGCCGGCAACGGUGAAACUCAAAGGAAUUGACGGGG
RNAcentral lists this ribosomal RNA (393 nucleotides) under uncultured bacterium. Its description in RNAcentral is "partial 16S ribosomal RNA". It matches the Rfam family "Bacterial small subunit ribosomal RNA", at positions 523 to 918 of the family's 1533-position model. The record is from RNAcentral.